GUUUUACACGGGGGUGGUGCGCCACACGGUUUCUUGAGUCUUGUUUUGACUGUGACGUUGCCAGUUAACCUCAAAAGACUCCAGGAAGCUGCUGCACGGCUCCAAGAUGCAAGAUUAUGGAGUUUCAGAGGUACUGCCCGUCCAUACAGUGAUGCCUCCACGACUCUCCACAGGAUUGAGCACAGAGCUGGUGACGUGCUGAAGCUGAUGAAAAGCGGCGUUGUGAGCCAUCCCAUGCGCUCCUAGAGUCUCUUUACAUCUCACUGAAUCCAGAAAGUUAACAGGCCCUGGCAGGCAUCUGAAUAAGAGGGAGGUGCAACCCAGAUCUCCCAGUUAGAGUCUCUCUGUGAUGGGGUCGUAAACACUGGGGCUUAAUUGGGAAACCGGCCGGUGCGCAGCUUGUUAUUCAUCAGCCAUUUAUUGAUGCUCAAAGCUCCAUGAGAGUUGGAGCGGGGGAGCCUGCACAGGGCCUCACAAUGGCAUGAAGAUUCAACUAUUCACAAGCUCAUCGGAGACGGAUAUGAGGCCAAAUAGGAAAUGGAGUUGGAUUUCUGCAGUGUGCCAGCAGCGCUCUUUAAUGCCCCUCCUCUGCAUCAGCUGAACUAGGCUACACAAAAGUCCUCAGGAGCCAUUCAGA
Molecule: long non-coding RNA, 637 nt
Organism: Cottoperca gobio
Lineage: Eukaryota; Metazoa; Chordata; Actinopteri; Perciformes; Bovichtidae
Exons: 3
Source: RefSeq, a predicted model, not a curated record